This 575-nucleotide ribosomal RNA is filed under the name Annachlamys flabellata. RNAcentral's name for it is "partial 16S ribosomal RNA". It matches the Rfam family "Bacterial large subunit ribosomal RNA", at positions 1858 to 2607 of the family's 2925-position model. Lineage: Eukaryota; Metazoa; Mollusca; Bivalvia; Pectinida; Pectinidae. The record is from RNAcentral.
CCUUCCGGUGAGCUUGCGAGCUUAAACGGACGCGGUAAAUCGUGCAAAGGUAGCUAAAUUAUGGCCUAUUAAUUGUAGGUCCUGUGAAUGGUUUGACGAGUCUUCAACUGUCUCUGAUUUGUUUUGGUGAAAUUGAAUUGGAUGUGCAAAUGCUUCCGUGGAUGAGAAAGACGAGAAGACCCCGUGAAGUUAGAAAUUUAAGCUGUGAACGUUAGUCCUUUGGGUUUUAGAACUGAUUUGGUUUUAGAAGGUUUGGGGUUGGUGUGUCUAACGCUUAAACUGGAAAGUGAAGGAGCAUGGUGGCAGUUUUGGCUGGGGCAGCAAAGGAGCAAGACUAGACUCCUAUUUGAUUUUAAGCAGUUGUGCUACGACCCACAGGAAUAAAGUAAGUUUUUGUGUUUACUUGUUUUGUGUGAUUAGCAGAAGGAGUUACUCCGGGGAUAACAGCGUUAUCCGUCCUGAUAGUCCUUAUAGAUGGGCGGGUUUGCGACCUCGAUGUUGGCUCUGGAUAUCCUUAGGCUUGCAGGCGGUCUUUAGGGUUGGUUCGUUCGCCCAUGAAAAUCCGACGUGAUCUG